UACGGAGGGUGCAAGCGUUAUCCGGAUUCACUGGGUUUAAAGGGUGCGUAGGCGGAUAGGUAAGUCAGGGGUGAAAUCUUUGGGCUCAACCCGGAAACUGCCUUUGAUACUAUCUAUCUUGAAUAUUGUGGAGGUUUGCGGAAUAUGUCAUGUAGCGGUGAAAUGCUUAGAUAUGACAUAGAACACCUAUUGCGAAGGCAGCAAACUACGCAUAUAUUGACGCUGAGGCACGAAAGCGUGGGGAUCAAACAGG
RNAcentral lists this ribosomal RNA (253 nucleotides) under uncultured Sediminibacterium sp. Its description in RNAcentral is "partial 16S ribosomal RNA". It matches the Rfam family "Bacterial small subunit ribosomal RNA", at positions 524 to 776 of the family's 1533-position model. The record is from RNAcentral. Lineage: Bacteria; Pseudomonadati; Bacteroidota; Chitinophagia; Chitinophagales; Chitinophagaceae.